RNAcentral lists this unclassified non-coding RNA (214 nucleotides) under Hevea brasiliensis (rubber tree). Lineage: Eukaryota; Viridiplantae; Streptophyta; Magnoliopsida; Malpighiales; Euphorbiaceae. The record is from RNAcentral.
CGCUAACAACCCAGGCAUAGUCUUAACCUUUGUGCUUCCCACGGAGCAGUUCCACUUAGGCAAGAUUGAGGAGCUUCUCAGUGGAGAGAACAGGGGCCCCAUUCUGCUCCCCUACCAGUUCCGGAUGGAGGAGAUCGAGGGCUUCCGCUAUCGCUGCAGGGAUGCCAUGCGCUCAGUGACUAAGCAGGCCAUUCGGGAGGCAAGAUUGAAGGAG